GAUGAACGCUGGCGGCGUGCUUAACACAUGCAAGUCGAACGGAAAGGCCCAAGCUUGCUUGGGUACUCGAGUGGCGAACGGGUGAGUAACACGUGGGUGAUCUGCCCUGCACUUCGGGAUAAGCCUGGGAAACUGGGUCUAAUACUGGAUAGGACCACUUCUUGGAUGUUGUGGUGGAAAGUUUUUUCGGUGUGGGAUGAGCUCGCGGCCUAUCAGCUUGUUGGUGGGGUAAUGGCCUACCAAGGCGUCGACGGGUAGCCGGCCUGAGAGGGUGUACGGCCACAUUGGGACUGAGAUACGGCCCAGACUCCUACGGGAGGCAGCAGUGGGGAAUAUUGCACAAUGGGCGCAAGCCUGAUGCAUCGACGCCGCGUGGGGGAUGACGGCCUUCGGGUUGUAAACUCCUUUCGCUAGGGACGAAGCGUUUUGUGACGGUACCUGGAGAAGAAGCACCGGCUAACUACGUG
RNAcentral lists this ribosomal RNA (467 nucleotides) under uncultured bacterium. RNAcentral's name for it is "partial 16S ribosomal RNA". It matches the Rfam family "Bacterial small subunit ribosomal RNA", at positions 28 to 507 of the family's 1533-position model. The record is from RNAcentral.